RNAcentral lists this ribosomal RNA (464 nucleotides) under Steinernema sp. GDc345. RNAcentral's name for it is "partial 28S ribosomal RNA". It matches the Rfam family "Eukaryotic large subunit ribosomal RNA", at positions 358 to 821 of the family's 3401-position model. The record is from RNAcentral. Lineage: Eukaryota; Metazoa; Nematoda; Chromadorea; Rhabditida; Steinernematidae.
GGAAAGUUGCAAAGUACUUUGAAGAGAGAGUUCAAGAGGACGUGAAACCGAUAGGAUGGAAGCAGAUGAAGUUGACGAACGAGCGUCGUAUUCAGGGUUGCAUCUUGUGUGCGGUCUGUUCUUGCGACCGAUGUGGGCUGGCGGCUUUGGUCAAUGCACUGUGUCAAGUUUCGAUGGAGACCCUGCGGAGGGAUAAUCGGUCGUUGCACGAUACGUGGUAUGGCUAAGGUUAUCGCCGGUCUUGAAGUCAGCGCCUCAUCUGACCCGUCUUGAAACACGGACCAAGGAGUGUAGCGUUUGCGCAAGUCUUAGAGUGUGUCAAAACUUUGAGGCGUAACAAAGUAAAUGUAGUUUCGAUCUACUGACUUGGGACGCGUUGUCUCGUGUGGACGGCGCUGGACCAUGGUUUUAUCGCGAUCGCUUGCGAUGCGGUGAAAAUAGAGCGUAAACGGUGCGACCCGAAA